Molecule: long non-coding RNA, 811 nt
Organism: Penaeus indicus
Lineage: Eukaryota; Metazoa; Arthropoda; Malacostraca; Decapoda; Penaeidae
Exons: 3
Source: RefSeq, a predicted model, not a curated record
GCCGCGCGAGUUGCAGGAAGUGCUGGGGGAUUCGAUCAAAACACUGACGGGACUUGAACAGUAUCACGGAAUUAUUAUUGAUUUGAUAAUAAGAUCAAGUGAACUAAGAAAGAAAGAAAGAAAAGAAAAGAAGGAAAAAACACACACGUUGCUAAAACUCGGGUUACUACGCUGCAUAUAUAAAAAAAAGAAAAGGUUUGAAAAAAAUACCUAUUCAUACAUGAACCACAGUACAUACACCAAUCAGCUUGAUCGAAUAGACGAAGCACACCCAAGGAUCAAUGCUAAGAAAAAGCUACUGUUGUUCAGAGACAGCAUAAUGAGGAAAGACGAGUGCCCGUUAGACCCGCCGUGUUGGGUCGAUCCUGAGAAGACCACAUCAGGCCUUACAGGCUCAAGGAGGCGUGCGUGACGUGGGCGCGGAGGACCGAGAGAGGUGGCGAGCGUGGGCGUGGGCGGACGAGUGGGCGUGAGCAGGAGAAAACCCGGUGCCUGGCGUGGGGUCGCGAGAGGGAGGUAUGGCACAAAGCAUGAACAGAUACGUGACACUCAACGAGCUUGGCACCGGCACCUAUGGCUCUGUGGUGCUGGGCCAGAGAAUAGACACCGGAGAGAAAGUGGCCAUUAAAAGGAUGAAGAGAAAAUUCUACUCCUGGGAUGAGGCGAUGAACCUUCGAGAAGUUAAAGUAAGUUCCGAAAGAUAUUUUUUCUUUUUUUUUAGCAUUCAUAAUUUUUCAAUAUUUUUUUUUUUUAUCUUGCCUCUCGGGAUUUCUCUAGAGCCACCGCGAAAAAAAAGAAAGUGAGAGAGAAA